This 2071-nucleotide long non-coding RNA is filed under the name Homo sapiens (human). Its description in RNAcentral is "HSALNT0298543". Lineage: Eukaryota; Metazoa; Chordata; Mammalia; Primates; Hominidae. The record is from RNAcentral.
UGGGGGUCGGGUGGGGGAGAGAGGGGUUGUAUGUUGGAGGAGGGAAUAUGUAGGAAAUCAGGGUGACAUUUAAAGCUGAGGGUGCAUAGUGUCCCCCACCAGUGUUUCAGGGAGAAAUUUGAACUCGCAUUUGCACACAAACAGCAGGAUUUUAAGAGAGCCCAGGUGAAGGCGUCACCCUCAGAAUGGAAGGGGUGGGGAGAAGGGCCGGGGUGCAGUCUCAGGGAGGAGGUACCCUUAGCUGCAGAAUCACCGUCCUGCACGUGUGUACCUCUGCAAUGUGGUCAAAUAGAACGGCUGUGGACGCGACACCACCCAUUUGCCUUUUAAGUUAGCAAGCCCAAAGUAUGCUUUAAUGUUUACUUUUUAAGAUUUUUAGAAAAGGUAGAAGACGACUCUAUUUCCUAAUAUGGUAAUUACUGCUUUUGUCAAAAUGUGAAUGCUGCGUGCACAUUUCUGCAAUAGCAUUAGUGAACACCAUGUUGAAAUCACAUUUUUUUUUCCCUUUUCCUCCAAUUUUGUGGGAUUCUCGUUCCUUGUUGAGGCACCCUUGGCUAAUGGGAAAAGCACUGGAUCUGGUAGAGAAAAAGAAUUUGAAUCUCCUCUACCACUCUUCACUCAUGGGCUCUUGGGCAAAUUCCCUAAGUUUCCCUGACCUCCAGUUCCAGCAAGGUGGAAUGGGAAGUGGGGCCUCAUCAUAUGGGCAUUGCAGGACUGUUGUGAGGGUCAGAUGAAAUUAUGCAUCCAGAGGUUGGCACCAGAAUACAUUCAAUAAAUAUUAUUUUGGUGCCAUGCUAAGCGUCAGUUAAAAGUUUUAAGGGUUGGGCUGGGUGGUGGCUCAUGCCUGUAAUCCUAGCAUGUUGGGAAGGCAAGGCAGGAGGAUUCCUUGAGCCCAGGACUUAGACCAGUCUGGGCAACAUAGAGAGAUCCUGCUUCUAUAUAAAAAUUUUAAAAAUUAGCUGGACAUGGUGGGUGCAUUUGUAGUGCCAGCUACUCUGGAAGCUGAGGUAGAAGGAUUGCUUGAGCCCAGGAAUUUGAGGCUGCAGUGAGCCAUGAUUGUGUCACUGCACCCCAGCCUGGGCAAGAGUGAGACUUUGUCUCAAAAACAAAGUGUUAAGACUUAAAGUAAUAUAUGAAUUUACAAAUAUUUCUGCAGAUUCCUAGCUUAAGAAAAGAAUGAAAUUAAUGUAAUCCUAAAAUAGUUUAAGUAAAGGAUAGAGUGCUAGAAAGGGGAGACUCCAAGCUCUGUCGUGUCCACAUCAUACUGUGGAUCUUGGCUAAGUCAUUUCUCUUCUCUGGGGUUGCUGUGGUCUGAAGGUUUGUGUUUCCCCCAAAUUCAUAUGUUAAAAUUCUAACCCUCAAGGUGAUAGUAUUAGGAGGUGAUUAGGUCAUAUGGGUGGAGCCCUCAUCAAUGGGAUUAGUGCCCUUAUAAAAGGAGCCCCAGAGUAAUCCCUCAUCCCUUCUGUCACGCGAGGACACAGUGAAAAGAUGGCCAUCUCUGAACCAGGGAGAGGAUCCUCACCAGACACCAAAUCUGAUGUCUUGAUCUUGGACUUCUUAGCCUUCAAAAUGACCCCAGAAAUGCCAAUGAUCCAGCUUCAGUGAUGCAAAUGAAGACCUCAGGGAUCAACAGAGCAAUGAGAGAAGGAACCUAGGUCCCUGAAUGACUCUGGAGCAGAGAUGCCCCAGACAUCUUACCAUGCCCCUUACCUCGAAUGGUAGAAGGUAUUCAUAGAAAUAGCUGUGGAAUGGCAGAAAAACCAUUAGGAAGAAGUUGAACUGCCUUAACUUCAAGUCUGAGGCUUUCAUUAGCUGGGUGGUCUCCAAAAACUGGACUGACCUCUUUGGCCUUCACCAUCCUCACCCAUGAUGAAGGAGAUGAGGACGCAGACACAACAGAGGAAAGACCAUGUGAUCACACAGAGAAGAUGGUAGUCUACAAGCAAUGUACAGGGACCUCAGAAGGAACCAACCCUGCUGGCACCUUGAUCUUGGACCUCUAGCCUCCAGGACUGUGAGAAAAUAAAUGUCUGUUGUUUAUGCCACCCAAUCUGUGGUAUUUUGUUUUGGC